RNAcentral lists this non-coding RNA (105 nucleotides) under Synechococcus sp. RNAcentral's name for it is "Glutamine-I sequence". It matches the Rfam family "Glutamine riboswitch aptamer (glnA leader)". The record is from RNAcentral. RNAcentral also lists the same sequence under 1 other name. Lineage: Bacteria; Bacillati; Cyanobacteriota; Cyanophyceae; Synechococcales; Synechococcaceae.
AACGUUCAUCUCUUCUCGCGAUCUCUGUCUGGAUGGUGUGCAUUCUGAGGUUUUUCAGGUAUUGAGAAGGGACGGAAGUAGGGAAGUCGCCCGAAGGAACGCGCC